This 72-nucleotide transfer RNA is filed under the name Camelus bactrianus (Bactrian camel). It matches the Rfam family "tRNA". Rfam says of the family: Transfer RNA (tRNA) molecules are approximately 80 nucleotides in length. Their secondary structure includes four short double-helical elements and three loops (D, anti-codon, and T loops). RNAcentral also lists the same sequence under 2 other names. Lineage: Eukaryota; Metazoa; Chordata; Mammalia; Artiodactyla; Camelidae. The record is from Rfam by way of RNAcentral.
GAGGGUAUAGCUCAGUGGUAGAGUGCGUGCUGCGCAUGCUCGAGGUCCUAGGUUCAAGCCCCAGUACCUCCA